AUGGAAAUAUUGUGUAGAUGUAGUGUCUCAGAAACCCCCAGCAGAGGGUGUCACAGUACGUCUUCCUCCCUGUUUGCAAGGGUGGGGUCUUUGCUUCUUAAUAUUACAGCUUCUUUGAUGCGGCAUUGUGCUUUACCUUUUUGUCAUCAUCACGGUGAUGUUCACACUCACAAUUCCCACAUGCUCAUAAGUUUGUGUGUGUGUGUUUGCUUCCUUUGCGCUCACUCUCUGAGAGAUUCUCCCUCACAGCGGUGUUUCUUUUCUUCUUCUCCCUCCCAGCAGAUGGCAGAGCGGGGCAGGGCGGUGAGAGUGAGCGGCCUGCCCACCGACGUGGAGGACGACAGGCUGAAAGACAAGCUGCUCAUCUACUUCCUGAGGGCCAGGAACGGAGGAGGGGAAGUGGAGUCCGUCACCGUCGUCAGGGCGACGCCCGCCUCUGCCCUCAUCACCUUCGAGGAGAGCGAAGCGGCACAGAGGGUCGUUCGACAGAGCCCGCACACUCUGGACCUGGACGGGAAGACGUACGAACUCGUCGCCACCGAGCAUCACGAGAGCCUGGACCCAGACCAGGUCAUCCUGAGUUUGACAGCGUCUGUCAACUGCAGCCAGCUCCCCGGGGGCAUGUUGACGGUGGAGAGCCUCCACGGGAGCCACCCGGACGUCCAGAUCAACUACGUCGCCGAGGAAAUCUGCACGUUGCUCGGCGAGUACUCCAAAGUCCAGGCCGCCUUGGCUCAGUUGCUCGGCCCGCACUCAGCGGACGGACACUCGCCAGGUCGACUCGACCGCACCGGCUCCACGUCGGCUCAGACCGACAGGAAGUCUCUCGUUGUUCACAGCGGGAAACCUAACAGGCCACGGGCACAGAGCGAGGCGGCUCCCGGUGCCAAACCGCCUGACGAGCACAACCCGAGCUCGCGCGGCGACCCGACGCCUAGUGGCUAUGGCGGUGCAGACGCCGGCCAGGCCGCGGGCGCAGGUGCGCAGCCUCCCGCCGCACCGGACGAGAACUUCUCCCUGAUCGUGGACGCAGACAUGUUCCAGUAUGUGCGGAAACACCGCUCGAGGGAGUACCAGUACGUCCUCGGCCUGUACGACGUGGAGGUGGUGGACGUGACGAGCCAGGGGCUGACCACGCUGUUCCUGCAGGUCGCAGCAGGAGUGAUGGAGUGCAGGAGGGCGGAGCAGGGGCGCCUGGAGUCGGCGCGGAAGGCGCUGAGUAGGUUUUACCAGGAGAACGAGACCAAGAUCUGUCGGGCUCAGCUCGCCAAGGGCGUCCUGUCCCCCGGCGGAGGGCUGCAACGGGGGGCGAUAGAGGGCUUGAACGCCAGACUCCCCAAGCUUCUUCUGAACGAAGACGACACAAAUAUUUACAUCGUCGGGAGCAUCGGCGACGUGUCCGAAGCCAAGCGAUUCCUCCUCCUGGACCACGACAAGGUGAGGGCUACCAAGGACGACGUGGCCAGCCUCUUCAGUUACCCAGCGUAUGACCCGAGCUCCUUAGCCCCUGCCGACGCGGCGAGCGCCGUCACCGCGUCCCCCGCCGAGGGCCGCCUGAGCGAUGGGCGGGAUCAGCUGCUGAGGUCGGAGGAUGACGAGAGGAGAGCUGCUGAGGGAGCCAGAAGGUGGGAACUGGAAGCUCGGUUUAAGGAUUUGGGGCUGGCCGCGCUAGGCGCUCGACCGACCGACUUCACCCUGCGCCCUGGGCCCUCGUCUCCGAGCAGGCAAGCGCGCGCUGGGCCAAUGUUGGGGCACGACGUGCUCUCAGAAACAACAGGGCUUCCCAGAGACAGGGUCCCCAGGGCAGAAUCCCAAAUCACCGGAGGGGACAUCUUGUUCAAAGGCGGAGUUGUGCAUUCGCCUGCCUCCGCCACGCAGAACAAAGUCUCCUUGAACUCGAAUUGUUUGGACGCCGCACCCAAGAAUUUGACGCCCAGCCUCAGCACCGCUGCGCCCAGUUCGCCGGGAAGCCCCGCGCGUCCGCCCGCAGAGUCGGGGUCCACCCUGAGGCGGGCCAGUAGCUUUUCGGGAACCCCCCAGCAGAAGGCUCAGGCGACGAGUCGGAAGAGCCACGACGACUCCGGCAGGUCCACAUCGAGAGCCAGGUCUUCCAGCGUCAGCAUGCAAACGGGGAGCGACAGGCGGGACGUCUCCAACGCAGAGAUUACAGUUUCCAUAAUAAUGUGGCAGCACAUUAAAGACGCCUACAGCAGCCGCGUGAAAGACCUGACCGCCGACGACGUCCAGCUGAAAGAAAGCCGGCGGGAGGGCGGCGACCAUCUGACCGUCUCCUUGAGUGGGACCAACCAGUCCAAGGUCAGUUCGUGUCACCUGGGUCUACAGACGCUGGUGGAGUCGGUCGGCGCCGACUUCUCCGUGCAGGUGCUGCUCCUGUCAGAGCUCGGCGUCACCGGUCCGAAAGACGAAACCCUCAAGGCGUGUUGUGCGGACGUGUGCAACCGCUAUAAGAAGAUUAGCAUCCUGAUUCUGAAAAAGAGAUUACUCCUGCUGGGUCCGGAACAGCUGUGUUCGCGGGUCGGCGCCACACUGCGGGAGGUAUUUUCUACGGAAUUGGCCCAAACGCCUAAACAGCAGGACUUCUCUCCCUCGUCCGCCACCGGCGGGAGUCUGUCCGCGUCGUUGCAAGUGAACGAGGAGCACAGAAGUUUGCCGCGCGGCAACAGCAGCUCUCAGGCGACGGCCGGAAGCCAGGCGGGCCGCGCCGAGGAGGUCGACGGCGGUGACCCGGAACGGGCAGCGCACCAUGAGCGGGACUCGUGCGAGGCGGAGCCCGUGAACGGACCCGUCGAUCCGCCGCCGCCGCCGCCGAGGAAAAACCCCGUCCUCAAGGAGAAAGUGAAAAGCAGGAGCACAGACGGGCUGGAGACACUCUUCAUCCCCCCGGCGGCGGGGAGCGCGACGCGCGGCAACGGCGUGGGCUCGUCGACCGUCCACACCGAUGGAGCCGCGGCGGCUCCCAAAAAAGAGAGAGCCACCCAAAAGGACGGUGCGCCGCAAAGAAGAGCGGAGGUCCAGGCCCCGGCGGGGGAAUCCAGGUCGGGUCCGAGGGACCUGGGCUACAUCUGCGUGUGCGGGGACGACGGCGCGUCGCGGUGA
Molecule: long non-coding RNA, 3117 nt
Organism: Scophthalmus maximus (turbot)
Lineage: Eukaryota; Metazoa; Chordata; Actinopteri; Pleuronectiformes; Scophthalmidae
Source: Ensembl